RNAcentral lists this ribosomal RNA (554 nucleotides) under uncultured bacterium. RNAcentral describes it as "bacterial SSU rRNA". It matches the Rfam family "Bacterial small subunit ribosomal RNA", at positions 102 to 674 of the family's 1533-position model. The record is from RNAcentral.
ACGGGUGAGUAACGCGUGGGUAACCUGCCUCAUACAGGGGGAUAACAGUCGGAAACGGCUGCUAAAACCGCAUAAUAUAUAGAGACCGCAUGGUUUUUAUAUCAAAUAUUAAUAGGUGUGAGAUGGGCCCGCGUCUGAUUAGCUAGUUGGCAGGGUAACGGCCUACCAAGGCGACGAUCAGUAGCCGGCUUGAGAGAGUGACCGGCCACAUUGGGACUGAGACACGGCCCAAACUCCUACGGGAGGCAGCAGUGGGGAAUAUUGCACAAUGGGGGAAACCCUGAUGCAGCGACGCCGCGUGAGUGAAGAAGUAUUUCGGUAUGUAAAGCUCUAUCAGCAGGGAAGAAAAUGACGGUACCUGACUAAGAAGCCCCGGCUAACUACGUGCCAGCAGCCGCGGUAAUACGUAGGGGGCAAGCGUUAUCCGGAUUUACUGGGUGUAAAGGGAGCGUAGGUGGUUUGAUAAGUCAGAUGUGAAAGCCCGGGGCUUAACCCCGGGACUGCAUUUGAAACUAUCCAACUGGAGUGCAGGAGAGGUAAGUGGAAUUCCUAGU